This is a long non-coding RNA of Etheostoma spectabile (orangethroat darter), 122 nucleotides long. RefSeq lists it as uncharacterized. The transcript is spliced from 2 exons. The record is from RefSeq and is a predicted model, not a curated record. NCBI's taxonomy places the organism in Eukaryota, Metazoa, Chordata, Actinopteri, Perciformes, Percidae.
AGCAGCAGGCCCAGUCUCUGGUACCAGCCAUGUUCAGAAACGGGGAGGAGAGGGACCCAAACGUCACCACUGUCAGCACUGUAAGAAAUCCUUCUCAACAUCUGGAUAUUUAAAGAGUCAUC